AGAGUUUGAUCAUGGCUCAGAUUGAACGCUGGCGGCAGGCCUAACACAUGCAAGUCGAGCGGUAGCACAGAGAGCUUGCUCUCGGGUGACGAGCGGCGGACGGGUGAGUAAUGUCUGGGAAACUGCCUGAUGGAGGGGGAUAACUACUGGAAACGGUAGCUAAUACCGCAUAACGUCGCAAGACCAAAGUGGGGGACCUUCGGGCCUCAUGCCAUCAGAUGUGCCCAGAUGGGAUUAGCUAGUAGGUGGGGUAACGGCUCACCUAGGCGACGAUCCCUAGCUGGUCUGAGAGGAUGACCAGCCACACUGGAACUGAGACACGGUCCAGACUCCUACGGGAGGCAGCAGUGGGGAAUAUUGCACAAUGGGCGCAAGCCUGAUGCAGCCAUGCCGCGUGUGUGAAGAAGGCCUUCGGGUUGUAAAGCACUUUCAGCGGGGAGGAAGGCGUUAAGGUUAAUAACCUUGGCGAUUGACGUUACCCGCAGAAGAAGCACCGGCUAACUCCGUGCCAGCAGCCGCGGUAAUACGGAGGGUGCAAGCGUUAAUCGGAAUUACUGGGCGUAAAGCGCACGCAGGCGGUCUGUCAAGUCGGAUGUGAAAUCCCCGGGCUCAACCUGGGAACUGCAUUCGAAACUGGCAGGCUAGAGUCUUGUAGAGGGGGGUAGAAUUCCAGGUGUAGCGGUGAAAUGCGUAGAGAUCUGGAGGAAUACCGGUGGCGAAGGCGGCCCCCUGGACAAAGACUGACGCUCAGGUGCGAAAGCGUGGGGAGCAAACAGGAUUAGAUACCCUGGUAGUCCACGCCGUAAACGAUGUCGAUUUGGAGGUUGUGCCCUUGAGGCGUGGCUUCCGGAGCUAACGCGUUAAAUCGACCGCCUGGGGAGUACGGCCGCAAGGUUAAAACUCAAAUGAAUUGACGGGGGCCCGCACAAGCGGUGGAGCAUGUGGUUUAAUUCGAUGCAACGCGAAGAACCUUACCUGGUCUUGACAUCCACAGAACUUUGCAGAGAUGGUUUGGUGCCUUCGGGAACUGUGAGACAGGUGCUGCAUGGCUGUCGUCAGCUCGUGUUGUGAAAUGUUGGGUUAAGUCCCGCAACGAGCGCAACCCUUAUCCUUUGUUGCCAGCGGUCCGGCCGGGAACUCAAAGGAGACUGCCAGUGAUAAACUGGAGGAAGGUGGGGAUGACGUCAAGUCAUCAUGGCCCUUACGACCAGGGCUACACACGUGCUACAAUGGCAUAUACAAAGAGAAGCGACCUCGCGAGAGCAAGCGGACCUCAUAAAGUAUGUCGUAGUCCGGAUUGGAGUCUGCAACUCGACUCCAUGAAGUCGGAAUCGCUAGUAAUCGUAGAUCAGAAUGCUACGGUGAAUACGUUCCCGGGCCUUGUACACACCGCCCGUCACACCAUGGGAGUGGGUUGCAAAAGAAGUAGGUAGCUUAACCUUCGGGAGGGCGCUUACCACUUUGUGAUUCAUGACUGGGGUGAAGUCGUAACAAGGUAACCGUAGGGGAACCUGCGGUUGGAUCACCU
This 1528-nucleotide ribosomal RNA is filed under the name Klebsiella pneumoniae. RNAcentral describes it as "bacterial SSU rRNA". It matches the Rfam family "Bacterial small subunit ribosomal RNA". The record is from RNAcentral. RNAcentral also lists the same sequence under 1 other name. Lineage: Bacteria; Pseudomonadati; Pseudomonadota; Gammaproteobacteria; Enterobacterales; Enterobacteriaceae.